GAUCCUGGCUCAGGAUGAACGCUAGCUACAGGCUUAACACAUGCAAGUCGAGGGGAAACGGCAUCAAGCGCUUGCGCCUGAUGGACGUCGACCGGCGCACGGGUGAGUAACGCGUAUCCAACCUGCCCCACGCUAAGGGAUAACCCGCAGAAAUGUGGACUAAUACCUUAUAUUUUCCACCAAGGGCAUCGUCGAUGGAACAAAGAUUUAUCGGUAUGGGAUGGGGAUGCGUCCGAUUAGGUUG
This 244-nucleotide ribosomal RNA is filed under the name uncultured bacterium. Its description in RNAcentral is "partial 16S ribosomal RNA". It matches the Rfam family "Bacterial small subunit ribosomal RNA", at positions 15 to 248 of the family's 1533-position model. The record is from RNAcentral.